GACGAACGCUGGCGGCGUGCUUAACACAUGCAAGUCGAACGGAAAGGCCCUGCUUGCAGGGUAUUCGAGUGGCGAAAGGGUGAGUAACACGUGGGUGAACUGCCCUGUUCAUCUGGAUAAGCCUGGGAAAAUGGGUCUCAUACCGCAUAUGAGCGCUCCUUCGUGUGGUGGUUGGUUAGAUUUUUCGGUGUAGGAUGAGCUCGCGGCCUACUAGCGUGUUGGUGGGGUAAUGGCCUACCAAGGCGGGGACGGGUAGCCGGCCUGAGAGGGUGUACGGCCACAUUGGGGCUGAGAGACGGCCCAGACUCCUACGGGGGGCAGAAGUGGGGAAUAUUUCACAAAGUGGGCAAGCCUGAUGUAGCGACGCCGCGUGGGGGAUGUAGGCCUUCGGGUUGUAUACUCCUUUCGCGAGGGACGAAGCGUGUGUGUGACGGUACCUAGAUAAGAAGCACCGGCUAACUACGUG
Molecule: ribosomal RNA, 466 nt
Filed under: uncultured bacterium
Lineage: Bacteria
Description: partial 16S ribosomal RNA
Rfam family: Bacterial small subunit ribosomal RNA
Source: RNAcentral